RNAcentral lists this ribosomal RNA (558 nucleotides) under uncultured bacterium. RNAcentral's name for it is "bacterial SSU rRNA". It matches the Rfam family "Bacterial small subunit ribosomal RNA", at positions 66 to 614 of the family's 1533-position model. The record is from RNAcentral.
GGGGCAUCGGGAGGGAAGCUUGCUUUCCUUGCCGGCGACCGGCGCACGGGUGAGUAACACGUAUGCAACCUGCCCUCUUCAGGGGGACAACCUUCCGAAAGGGAGGCUAAUCCCGCGUAUAUCGGUUUCGGGCAUCCGAGAUCGAGGAAAGAUUCAUCGGAAGAGGAUGGGCAUGCGGCGCAUUAGCUAGACGGCGGGGUAACGGCCCACCGUGGCGACGAUGCGUAGGGGUUCUGAGAGGAAGGUCCCCCACACUGGUACUGAGACACGGACCAGACUCCUACGGGAGGCAGCAGUGAGGAAUAUUGGUCAAUGGGAGAGAUCCUGAACCAGCCAAGCCGCGUGAGGGAAGACGGCCCUAUGGGUUGUAAACCUCUUUUGUCGGAGAACAAAACCCGGGGCGAGUCCCGGACUGCGUGUAUCCGAAGAAAAAGCAUCGGCUAACUCCGUGCCAGCAGCCGCGGUAAUACGGAGGAUGCGAGCGUUAUCCGGAUUUAUUGGGUUUAAAGGGUGCGUAGGCGGUCCGUUAAGUCAGCGGUAAAAUUGCGGGGCUCAACC